GACGGAGGGUGCAAGCGUUGUCCGGAAUCACUGGGCGUAAAGGGCGCGUAGGCGGCUCAUGAAGGCUGUGGUGAAAGUCCGGGGCUCAACCUCGGAUCGGCCGUGGCGACUCGUGGGCUGGAGCACUGUAGAGGCGGGUGGAAUUCCGGGUGUAGCGGUGGAAUGCGUAGAGAUGCGGAGGAACACCGAUGGCGAAGGCAGCCCCCUGGGCUAACACUGACGCUCAGGCACGAAAGCGUGGGGAGCAAACAGG
Molecule: ribosomal RNA, 253 nt
Filed under: uncultured bacterium
Lineage: Bacteria
Description: partial 16S ribosomal RNA
Rfam family: Bacterial small subunit ribosomal RNA
Source: RNAcentral